RNAcentral lists this ribosomal RNA (392 nucleotides) under uncultured bacterium. RNAcentral describes it as "bacterial SSU rRNA". It matches the Rfam family "Bacterial small subunit ribosomal RNA", at positions 28 to 417 of the family's 1533-position model. The record is from RNAcentral.
GACGAACGCUGGCGGCGUGCUUAACACAUGCAAGUCGAGCGGUAAGGCCCUUUCGGGGGUACGACGAGCGGCGAACGGGUGGAGUAACACGUGGGUGACCUGCCCUCAGCUCUGGGAUAAGCCUGGGAAACCGGGGUCUAAUACCGGAUAUGACUCCAUGACGCAUGUUGUGGGGUGGAAAGCCUUGUGCGGCUGAGGAUGGGCCCGCGGCCUAUCAGCUUGUUGGUGGGGUGGAUGGCCUACCAAGGCGACGACGGGUAGCCGGCCUGAGAGGGCGACCGGCCACACUGGGACUGAGACACGGCCCAGACUCCUACGGGAGGCAGCAGUGGGGAAUCUUGCGCAAUGGGCGAAAGCCUGACGCAGCGACGCCGCGUGAGGGAUGACGGCCU